GUGAGUCAUCGAAUCUUUGAACGCAUAUUGCACUCUUUGGUAUUCCGAAGAGUAUGCCUGUUUCAGUAUCAUAAAACUCUCACAAUUCAUUAGUUUUGGCUAAUGAAUGUGGACAUGGGCUUGCAAGCUUUACAGCUUUCUAGUCUAAAAUGCAUUUCUUUGAAGCAUCCGUAUUCAAUUCUGCUUAAUAGUUUUAGCUUCGGCUGAAUCUUUGGCUUUAUUGAUGGAUUCAGCUUCAUUGAUUUACGAUAAUAUUGGCCCACAAGCCUUUCAAAAUUUGAUCUGAAAUCAGGUAGGUACUACCCGCUGAACUUAAGCAUAUCAAUAAGCGGAGG
This 335-nucleotide ribosomal RNA is filed under the name uncultured fungus. Its description in RNAcentral is "eukaryotic LSU rRNA". The stretch from base 1 to 71 matches the Rfam family "5.8S ribosomal RNA", at positions 84 to 154 of the family's 154-position model. Lineage: Eukaryota; Fungi. The record is from RNAcentral.